GAACGCUGGCGGCAGCCUAAACAUGCAAGUCGAACGGUAACAUUUCUAGCUUGCUAGAAGAUGACGAGUGGCGGACGGGUGAGUAAUGCUUGGGAACUUGCCUUUGCGAGGGGGAUAACAGUUGGAAACGACUGCUAAUACCGCAUAAUGUCUUCGGACCAAACGGGGCUUCGGCUCCGGCGCAAAGAGAGGCCCAAGUGAGAUUAGCUAGUUGGUAAGGUAACGGCUUACCAAGGCGACGAUCUCUAGCUGUUCUGAGAGGAAGAUCAGCCACACUGGGACUGAGACACGGCCCAGACUCCUACGGGAGGCAGCAGUGGGGAAUAUUGCACAAUGGGGGAAACCCUGAUGCAGCCAUGCCGCGUGUGUGAAGAAGGCCUUCGGGUUGUAAAGCACUUUCAGUUGUGAGGAAAAGUUAGUAGUUAAUACCUGCUAGCCGUGACGUUAACAACAGAAGAAGCACCGGCUAACUCCGUGCCAGCAGCCGCGGUAAUACGGAGGGUGCGAGCGUUAAUCGGAAUUACUGGGCGUAAAGCGCACGCAGGCGGUUUGUUAAGCUAGAUGUGAAAGCCCCGGGCUC
This 580-nucleotide ribosomal RNA is filed under the name uncultured bacterium. RNAcentral describes it as "bacterial SSU rRNA". It matches the Rfam family "Bacterial small subunit ribosomal RNA", at positions 31 to 610 of the family's 1533-position model. The record is from RNAcentral.